UGAGGUAGUUUUAAAUGUUAUGACUUUAUCGUUCAUAACAUUUAUCCUACUUCUUC
RNAcentral lists this microRNA precursor (56 nucleotides) under Heligmosomoides polygyrus. Its description in RNAcentral is "microRNA hpo-mir-84a precursor". Its record names the gene hpo-mir-84a. Lineage: Eukaryota; Metazoa; Nematoda; Chromadorea; Rhabditida; Heligmosomidae. The record is from miRBase by way of RNAcentral.